RNAcentral lists this ribosomal RNA (253 nucleotides) under uncultured bacterium. RNAcentral's name for it is "partial 16S ribosomal RNA". It matches the Rfam family "Bacterial small subunit ribosomal RNA", at positions 524 to 776 of the family's 1533-position model. The record is from RNAcentral.
UACGGGGGGGGCAAGCGUUGUUCGGAAUUACUGGGCGUAAAGGGCUUGUAGGUGGCCAACUAAGUCAGACGUGAAAUCCCUCGGCUUAACCGGGGAACUGCGUCUGAUACUGGAUGGCUCGAGUGUGGGAGAGGGAUGCGGAAUUCCAGGUGUAGCGGUGAAAUGCGUAGAUAUCGUUUGGAACGCCAAUGGUGAAAACAGACAGCUGGGAGUGUGCUGACGCUGAGACACGAAAGCCAGGGGAGCGAACGGG